UACAGAGGUCUCAAGCGUUGUUCGGAUUCAUUGGGCGUAAAGAGCUCGUAGGCGGUUUGUCGCGUCUGCCGUGAAAACCCGAGGCUUAACCUCGUGGCUUGCGGUGGAUACGGGCAGACUAGAGGUAGGUAGGGGAGAAUGGAAUUCCCGGUGUAGCGGUGAAAUGCGCAGAUAUCAGGAGGAACACCGGUGGCGAAGGCGGUUCUCUGGGCCUUACCUGACGCUGAGGAGCGAAAGCGUGGGGAGCGAACAGG
This 254-nucleotide ribosomal RNA is filed under the name uncultured bacterium. Its description in RNAcentral is "partial 16S ribosomal RNA". It matches the Rfam family "Bacterial small subunit ribosomal RNA", at positions 524 to 776 of the family's 1533-position model. The record is from RNAcentral.